This is a non-coding RNA of Cronobacter sp., 62 nucleotides long. NCBI's taxonomy places the organism in Bacteria, Pseudomonadati, Pseudomonadota, Gammaproteobacteria, Enterobacterales, Enterobacteriaceae. The record is from Rfam.
ACCCUUCUGGUUGCAGCCUGAGAAAUCAGGCUGAUGGCUGGUGACUUUUUGGUCACCAGCCU